UGCAGUCGAACGCAGUAGCAAUACUGAGUGGCGAACGGGUGAGUAUAAUGUGGGUAUCUGCCUUUUGGUUUGGAAUAACAUGAGGAAACUUGUGCUAAUACCGGAUAAGCCCUUACGGGGAAAGUUUUAACGCCGAAAGAUGAGCCCGCACUUGAUUAGCUAGUUGGUAGGGUAAAAGCCUACCAAGGCAACGAUCAAUAGCUGAUCUGAGAGGAUGAUCAGCCACAUUGGGACUGAGACACGGCCCAGACUCCUACGGGAGGCAGCAGUGGGGAAUCUUGCACAAUGGGGGAAACCCUGAUGCAGCGAUGCCGCGUGAGUGAAGAAGGCCCUUGGGUUGUAAAGCUCUUUCGUCGGGGAAGAAAAUGACUGUACCCGAAUAAGAAGGUCCGGCUAACUUCGUGCCAGCAGCCGCGGUAAUACGAAGGGACCUAGCGUAGUUCGGAAUUACUGGGCUUAAAGAGCUCGUAGGUGGUUAAGAAAGUUGGUGGUGAAAUCCCAAGGCUCAACCUUGGAACUGCUAUCAAAACUUUUUGACUAGAGUAUGAUAGAGGUGAGUGGAAUUUCUAGUGUAGAGGUGAAAUUCGUAGAUAUUAGAAAGAACACCAAUUGCGAAGGCAACUUUCUGGAUCAUUACUGACACUGAGGAGCGAAAGCAUGGGUAGCGAAGAGGAUUAGAUACCCUCGUAGUCCAUGCUGUAAACGAUGUGUGCUAGACGUUGGAAAUUUAUUUUUUCAGUGUCGCA
This 746-nucleotide ribosomal RNA is filed under the name uncultured Candidatus Pelagibacter sp. RNAcentral describes it as "bacterial SSU rRNA". It matches the Rfam family "Bacterial small subunit ribosomal RNA", at positions 56 to 850 of the family's 1533-position model. Lineage: Bacteria; Pseudomonadati; Pseudomonadota; Alphaproteobacteria; Candidatus Pelagibacterales; Candidatus Pelagibacteraceae. The record is from RNAcentral.